Molecule: unclassified non-coding RNA, 467 nt
Filed under: Hevea brasiliensis (rubber tree)
Lineage: Eukaryota; Viridiplantae; Streptophyta; Magnoliopsida; Malpighiales; Euphorbiaceae
Source: RNAcentral
GUUUGAACUUGGUUUUUAGUUUUUGUUAUCUGGUGGUAUUAGAUUAUAUUCUCAAUGAAGAGAUACAAAAAUGUUACAGUUUAGUUCUUGUUCUUAUCCUCACUAUCCUGUUAUCGGUAAUCAUUCAAAUAGCAUUGUGCUUCAGGUUUUCCUCUUUGCUAUUGUGGACAAGCUCGAUUGCAGUGUAUUUCAGAAAUACUGCAUAUAGUUGGAACAAUGAUGUCAUUCUCAUUUUUGUGUAAAUGCAGUAAUGAGAAUGUUCUUAUGUGUUUCCAAACAGCAUGAUUUAAAUUUUUUUACCAUGAUCCUGGGAUUUUUUAUAUUUGAUUUGCUAGCCAUGCAUGCAUGCGUUGGACUUACGCUCAUCUGAUGAGUUCUUUGUUGUUCAUCUGUUAUUCUUAACUUCAGUAACCAUUGUUCCUGUCUUAACUAAAUUUUUGUGUAGGCUAUACGCCAUGAAGCUUUCA